CUACUGGGUGCAGAUCACCCAAGAGCUCCCUCGUAUUCCCCUGACUCUACACAAUGACUCAGAAUCUUGCAGCCAGCACUCUAAGCCAUUGCUUGAAUGUCAGACCAUGAGGGAACCCAUAAAGCUCUUAGGGAUUAUACCCCCUCCUGCCAAAAGGUAAACACGAGGGGGGCAACUUCCCCAAUACAUCCAGACACUACCCACACAACAUUCAGCCACACUCAGAUUCCCCCCAACACACACGAAUACACAUUCAGACUCCUUCACAAAAUCGUUAUCAACCACACACAACACUCAACCAGCACUCAAUCUCCC
Non-coding RNA from Pelobates cultripes (western spadefoot toad), 315 nucleotides. NCBI's taxonomy places the organism in Eukaryota, Metazoa, Chordata, Amphibia, Anura, Pelobatidae. The record is from the annotation of a GenBank genome assembly.